This 73-nucleotide transfer RNA is filed under the name Felis catus (domestic cat). It matches the Rfam family "tRNA". From Rfam's summary of the family: Transfer RNA (tRNA) molecules are approximately 80 nucleotides in length. Their secondary structure includes four short double-helical elements and three loops (D, anti-codon, and T loops). The record is from Rfam by way of RNAcentral. Lineage: Eukaryota; Metazoa; Chordata; Mammalia; Carnivora; Felidae.
AUCAGGCUGGCUCAGUUGGAAAAGCAUGUGAUUCUUGAUCUCAGGAUUGUGGGUUCAAGCCCCACGUUGGGUG